GGUGCCUACGGGGCGCAGCAGUGGGGGAUAUUGCACAAUGGGCGCAAGCCUGAUGCAGCGACACCGCGUGAGCGAAGAAGUAUUUCGGUAUGUAAAGCUCUAUCAGCAGGGAAGAAAAUGACGGUACCUGACUAAGAAGCUCCGGCUAAAUACGUGCCAGCAGCCGCGGUAAUACGUAGGGGGCAAGCGUUAUCCGGAUUUACUGGGUGUAAAGGGAGCGUAGACGGCUGUGCAAGUCUGAAGUGAAAGCCCGUGGCUCAACCGCGGAACUGCUUUGGAAACUGUAUAGCUUGAGUACUGGAGAG
This 305-nucleotide ribosomal RNA is filed under the name uncultured bacterium. Its description in RNAcentral is "bacterial SSU rRNA". It matches the Rfam family "Bacterial small subunit ribosomal RNA", at positions 333 to 656 of the family's 1533-position model. The record is from RNAcentral.